UACGUAGGGGGCAAGCGUUGUCCGGAUUUAUUGGGCGUAAAGAGCGUGUAGGCGGCCUUACAGGUCAGCUGUGAAAACUCGAGGCUCAACCUCGAGACGUCGGUUGAAACCGUAAGGCUAGAGUCCGGAAGAGGAGAGUGGAAUUCCCGGUGUAGCGGUGAAAUGCGCAGAUAUCAGGAAGAACACCCGUGGCGAAGGCGGUUCUCUGGGACGGUACUGACGCUGAGACGCGAAAGCGUGGGGAGCGAACAGG
This 253-nucleotide ribosomal RNA is filed under the name uncultured bacterium. RNAcentral describes it as "partial 16S ribosomal RNA". It matches the Rfam family "Bacterial small subunit ribosomal RNA", at positions 524 to 776 of the family's 1533-position model. The record is from RNAcentral.